Molecule: ribosomal RNA, 253 nt
Filed under: uncultured bacterium
Lineage: Bacteria
Description: partial 16S ribosomal RNA
Rfam family: Bacterial small subunit ribosomal RNA
Source: RNAcentral
UACAGAGGGUGCAAGCGUUAAUCGGAAUUACUGGGCGUAAAGCGUGCGUAGACGGUUAAGUAAGUCGGAUGUGAAAGCCCCGGGCUCAACCCGGGAAUUGCAUUCGAGACUGCGUAGCUAGGGUGCGGAAGAGGGAAGCGGAAUUUCCGGUGUAGCGGUGAAAUGCGUAGAUAUCGGAAGGAACAUCAGUGGCGAAAGCGGCUUCCUGGUCCAGCACAGACGUUCAGGCACGAAAGCGUGGGGAGCAAACAGG